ACGUAGGGGGCGAGCGUUGUCCGGAAUUACUGGGCGUAAAGCGCACGUAGGCGGGUCGUUAAGUCGGCUGUGAAAGGCACUGGCUCAACCGGUGUUUGUCGGUCGAUACUGGCGGUCUGGAGUAUGGGAGAGGGAGCUGGAAUUCCUGGUGUAGCGGUGAAAUGCGCAGAUAUCGGGAGGAACACCAAUGGCGAAGGCGGGUUCCUGGCCCAUUACUGACGCUAAGAUGCGAAGGCCUGGGGAGCAAACGG
RNAcentral lists this ribosomal RNA (251 nucleotides) under uncultured prokaryote. RNAcentral's name for it is "partial 16S rRNA". It matches the Rfam family "Bacterial small subunit ribosomal RNA", at positions 525 to 775 of the family's 1533-position model. The record is from RNAcentral.